This 311-nucleotide ribosomal RNA is filed under the name uncultured Arcobacter sp. RNAcentral's name for it is "bacterial SSU rRNA". It matches the Rfam family "Bacterial small subunit ribosomal RNA", at positions 29 to 334 of the family's 1533-position model. Lineage: Bacteria; Pseudomonadati; Campylobacterota; Epsilonproteobacteria; Campylobacterales; Arcobacteraceae. The record is from RNAcentral.
AGUGAACGCUGGCGGCGUGCUUAACACAUGCAAGUCGAACGAGGACGGGAUUAGCUUGCUAAUCUGUCAGCUAAGUGGCGCACGGGUGAGUAAUAUAUAGGUAACGUGCCUUCAAGAGGGGGAUAACAGAUGGAAACGUCUGCUAAAACCCCAUAUGCCUUUAAUGCGAAAGUAUGCAAGGGAAAUAUUUAUAGCUUGAAGAUCGGCCUGUACAGUAUCAGAUAGUUGGUGAGGUAAUAGCUCACCAAGUCAAUGACGCUUAACUGGUUUGAGAGGAUGAUCAGUCACACUGGAACUGAGACACGGUCCAG